This 74-nucleotide transfer RNA is filed under the name Trichonephila inaurata madagascariensis. RNAcentral describes it as "tRNA-Ile". It matches the Rfam family "tRNA". From Rfam's summary of the family: Transfer RNA (tRNA) molecules are approximately 80 nucleotides in length. Their secondary structure includes four short double-helical elements and three loops (D, anti-codon, and T loops). Further hydrogen bonds mediate the characteristic L-shaped molecular structure. tRNAs have two regions of fundamental functional importance: the anti-codon, which is responsible for specific mRNA codon recognition, and the 3' end, to which the tRNAs corresponding amino acid is attached (by aminoacyl-tRNA synthetases). tRNAs cope with the degeneracy of the genetic code in two manners: having more than one tRNA (with a specific anti-codon) for a particular amino acid; and 'wobble' base-pairing, i.e. permitting non-standard base-pairing at the 3rd anti-codon position. Lineage: Eukaryota; Metazoa; Arthropoda; Arachnida; Araneae; Nephilidae. The record is from RNAcentral.
UCCCCAGUGGCGCAAUUGGUUAGCGCGCGGUACUUAUAAUGCCAAAGUUGUGAGUUCGAUCCUCACCUGGGGAA